UCGAUUUUAAGAAAGAUCCAUCUUUUUUUUUAAAUUCUUCUAAACGAGGAACCAUGAGAACAUCCUGUACAAAAGAAGCUUACAAAAUGACUAACGAUCUUGUUGGCUAACGUUCCGUCUAUCGACGCCGCUAAUUCGUCAUUUCUCGCACGUCGAGUGAUUCACGGAGCUUCAACAGGAUAACGAGGGAACCGGUCGUCGACGGUUCAUACACACACACGCGCGCGCGCACACACACAUGUACACACACAGGCCGGCCAUUAUGCGGCUCCACUUGGUCGCUCUCGUUUCGACGAUCACAAUGACUCGUUGUGUUCCACCGAGGAUGUACCACGCCACGGCUCAAGGUUCUCCUCGUCGCGUUUUGUCGGGAUUGCACAAUUAUGCGAAAUAUCCGAGCGCGGGGCACGAAACCGAGUGAAUUACACGGCUAAUAAUUGGAGCAGAGGUCGUUGAAUUGAGCUCGUUCUUCCGAGAGGCCGAGGAAUUGAAACAAAUGAUUAUUGAAUAACUGAACGUGAUCGACAUCAAGGUUUCAGAUGGUUGGUUCUCGUGAAACCAUCGUUGCACUCGUCAACUUCGUGUUUUCGUUUUCGUAACGAUGAGGAGUUUAUAAAGAAAUACUUUUAUUAUGUGUGAUUAUAUUUGUGCACGUUGAAUAUUGAUGAUACGACCUUUUGAUACAGUUGGACUGUGAGAUAAUGAUAAUGGAAAUAAUAUCGUUUAAGGAUUUUUUAGGUUAUAUUUUUGUUUGGAGGUUAUAUUAAUCUCAUUCUAUUGUAGAUGUAAUGUAUACUCAAAGAAUAAAUAACUACUUAACGUUAUAUAAAGAUGUAUUCGAAGUGUACAAACAGAUAGAUAAUUUGAGUUAAAUUGUAAGAAACACUUGAAAGUAUCUAUUAACAUAUUUGCUCGCUGCUUGUACGUCAUGACCAAAGUCAAUACACAACGAGAAUGACAAACAUAAUCGUACUAUGAACUAACUAAUUCUCAUUUCGACAUAUGUAAAAUGUAUAAUAUAUAUAUAUAUCAAUGAAUAAUGAAAUAAAAAUAUUUGUUAUACAAAAUGAAUUUGUCCAAAUGCAAAAAUAAUACUUCAAGGAUCUCAAUCCCUUGCCUUUAAUGUUUUCUUCAAACAAACUAUAUGUAUAUUCCAAAUAAAUCACCUUAAACCACGCUACCGGAUCGACUAAACAUCGAAACGCUUUCAAACCGAACGAAUAAUCGAUUUCCCGGAACGCUACGAUCGAAACAAAUCGAAGAAUCGAUCUCUUCAUGCGUAAGCAACGUAUUUGUUUCCUCUUCGUUCGUAUAAACUCGACCGAUCGACAGAGAGAAAAAGAGAGAGAGAGAGAGAGAGAAGACGUUUUUAGAACGCGACAACGGUGUUACUUAAGCUAUUAUUUAAGUGGCUGGCAAGAGGGACAUUUUAAGUUGUCGUUGGUGGAGUGCAAUGCUGUCGCUACGUGUCCUUGACGAGCCUGUCAUUGGAAUUCAUGGCGAGUGACACAAAAGAAGGGAAAAAACCGUAACGAUGAAUACCGGGCUUGUAUAUGCAUUGUGAAAGAGAGUCGGUAUGCAGGAGAGCCAUAAUAUGCCAUCUCGUGGCAUAAUCUUGUAACAAGAAUUAUCUCACAUUACAUGCGGACGAGCACAGGGAGAGGGAUAUGAAACACACGUUGCUUUAUACGCAUCACCGUUUUGACGGUUCCGCUCGUAACAUUGCGUAAUACGCUAGUGAUUCACGCGUGUUUGCCGCGACGCAAAACUGAGAGACUGACAUAAACGUGGCUGUGAACAUUCAAGAGGCCGAGGAAUAAUUCAAACGCUUCGCACACCGACGUGUACAAGGCGUUACCGAAUUUAAUUUUACAAUUUUUGCAAACAAUACCUGUUUUCCAGUUUUCUUCUGAUCUACGCGAGAAGAGAAAAAAAUGUUACGUGAAUAUUUAAGUCGUUUAAAAUUGUAUUAAAAAUUUAUGGCGAAAAAUAACGAAAUGUGAAAGUCGCAAUCACUAAAUAUCUAAAUUUAACGCUAAAAGUAUUAUGCUACUAUUGACGAUAGCAAAGUUUGGUCAUUAAAACUUGGAACAACACUGUGUACAACUAUUUUUGCGAAAGAUUUGCAUUUAAAUGGCUCGCGCUGCUUAACAUCCGCUUCGGCGCAAUAUGAUUUCACGCUAUUCUAAUGCUGCUCGUUUAAUCUGUUCCUGUUGUUCUCUUUUCUUUUUACCUUCUUCUUUUAUUACUUUGUGCUUUCAAGGAUUAGAUCAUCUUUGUUUGUUCAAAAGAUUUUUUUAGUAACUCGAUACUUUAACGUCUUCUAGAAGAUGUAAUACAAUAUAUAAAUUUAAAAGUAAGAUAUAAUUAAAUCUAAUAUUGAAAUUCAAAUUUUUAUUUCAAUUAUAUUUCUAUUUCUAUUCAAAGAACGUGUUAAUAUUUUAAAAAAAAAUUUGAUUGUUGAUUUUUAAGAAAACUAAAAGAGUAGAAAAUAAUCUUGUUGACAAAUCGGAAGACAAAAAAUAAAGAUAAUAACGGGAAGCUAAAAAGUAGACGGACGUGAAAAAGGAAUCGUAAAAUACUAGCGUGAAAUUACUUCCGCCAUAUUACUUUCACCAGUCAAGCGAAUUUCAUAAAUUAAAAAGACAGUCGCGUGAAGACAACAGCUGUAUAAUUCUGUGAACUUAAAUAAAUAUCGUAAAGUUAUACAUAGUGAACAUGGAUGAUAAUUUUUGUAUAUUAAAA
Molecule: long non-coding RNA, 2745 nt
Organism: Apis dorsata (giant honeybee)
Lineage: Eukaryota; Metazoa; Arthropoda; Insecta; Hymenoptera; Apidae
Exons: 3
Source: RefSeq, a predicted model, not a curated record